UGGCUCCCUGGGGCAAGAGGACCUAGGGUGUGGGCUGACCAACUAUGCAGAAGGAACCACAGGAACAGCCAAACCUGGGGAAGGACAGAGCUGUCCUUUAUGCUGUUAGCUUGUUAACGUUUUGGCCAACCAAGCAAAUCUCAGUGAGGGGGAGGAGCUGGACUCGACAGCAUACACAAACCAGGCUUGGGGAAGGUCCCUGUUCACAGCCAUUUAUCAUUACUGAUUUCACAAAUAACUGCUUUCAGCACUGAGCAACCUCCUGCAAGGCUUGUAUGAGGAUGGAGUGGGGACAAUUAGCUGGCCCUUUAGAAGCAAGACUUUUUUAUAUGCAAGGCACAAUGGAGGAUGGUGCAAAAAGAGAGGGGAACUGAAGGGGCACUGAGGAGGGCAGAGUGAGAAGUUCCCACAAGGAAGCAGAAAUGAAAAAGGGCAAAGAUCCAAGUCGGGGAAGAGAGAAUCCUACAGAGCUGCAGGCAAGCAGAGCAGACCUCCAAGAGAGGAGCGAGUGUUUUCUGGGUGUUGUUGCACCAGCGGGCCACUAGCAGUCUAGGCAGAAUGGGAAGCGACAAUGAUGAAUGGACAAGAUGGAUAUCAGCUUUCUCUGUGGCAAAUGCAGGCUGUUAAAAAUAGCACCAAGGAUACACGGAGCAGCUGAUUUAGCAAAACAAGCCUGGGAAGAUGCACCCACACCCAGGGGUGGAUCCUGAGGGGCUGCAGUGGUGUUGUUGCAUCCCUCUCUCAGACCGCAUAUGGGGAGCGGCAGCUGGUGACUUUUUUUUUAAGUCUCUGAGGCAACCAUUCAGCAGGAUCACUUUGUUGAGCCGAUGCUCCCGAGGGCAAGAACACCAAGACCUGGACAAAGGUGAAACAUGUAACAGCCUCUGUUCCCUGUUCUGCAGCGGAGCCAUCUGUCUGAUGGAAAGGCUGGCUGGGGCAAAGGAGAACCUGCUGUCCCCAUGAGGCAUGGGUUUGCCCACUGUGCCUGGAUGGUGUUGUAGCCUGUAACAAGCACCUGAUGCACAUGCUUUCAAGUGCAUUUUGACAAGUGCCAGUGCCUCUGUCUAUGGGCAGGGCAGUGCCACCCAGUGAGCCCCUGGUGUCUCUGCACCUGACCUGGGCACUGCCAAGCAUAGACCAUCCGGAGUGACUCUACCCAUCAAGCCCCUUGUGCUCUGUACCUCAUAGCAGACUGUGGAGAUGUAAUGCUCUUACCCACCAAGCAGCAGAGUGUGGCAAAUCAGAUGAUACCUGCUGCCUGGUCCCUGGGAACUGUCUGUGUGGUGGGGCUGAAGGUCGUGGUCCUGCACCCUCAGUCUCCAGCCUGUGGGAUCCCCAGGCAAACUCACCCCUUGGGCUGCCUCUGCCCUGGAGUCCCCCUACCCCUUCCCUUUCAGCCCCAAAAGGGCUCACUGAGAGAAGGUUGCCAUAGCUUUGGUGCAGGGAGCCCUAGCAAGUAUGGUCAUUUGUAACUCUUUUAAAACCUCAGUUAUUAGAAUUAACCUGCUAGCUGCUGGGGUUUUGCAGGGAGGCUUCGCCGAGUGAGCUGUGGACAGAGAAACAGCAACUAAGGGAAUGUGGUCUGGCAGAAAACUUGGGCACAAGUUGUCUCUCCUGUCUCUGGUGCCCCUGACAACAGCACUGUGGCUCAGCAGGCAGCCUCUACCACGCAUGGGCCAGGACAUGAGCGAUGCCUGCUGUUCUGCAGGGACAUACACAAGGAGGAGGAGAAUGCCCCAUGUUCACAGCGUGGCACAUAUAGCAGAAACACAGACAUCCACUACAGAUGUACACCCCUCAGAUAGCCUCACACUAGGACCAUGCACCACCCACACUCACAGCACGUGCUGCAGCUUCACAUACAGGGCCUCACUCAGAGGUACAAAGGCCUCAGAAGACACACACAUCCGAUUCACGAGGAGAUACAAGCAGCACAAAGCAAAGCAGAGAUCUGUGAACACACCCUUACAUGAUAACAACACUUUCCCCUCAGAGCAGAGGCUUUCACUGACAUGCACAAAGGCUGAGGCACAGGCGCACACUAGCUGAUACGCAGACACACACCUGCAGACUGAGAUGCCCACACUGCAGCACAGCUGGAUUAACAGUCAGAAAAUGUUCAACUCGCUAUGCAGAGCCCAAAAUAGAGCAGCCUGAAGGAUAGUGUGCUGCUUUUUAUAGCAGCAUAUCAAUCCCGGGAGACGGAGGCUCUGCAGAGCAUGGCUAGUUGGAGAUGCAAUGAGAGCAGCUCCUGACUCAGUGCUUGCAUCAAGACUAGCAGCGCAUUCCCCAGAGGAAGGCACCCGCAGACCUGCAGGCUUAGCACUGGGCAUUGCAGAGAGAACGUCAGGGCUCCCCACCAGUUAGUUUCCUGCUCAGCCACAGACCACAGUGCCUUUCCAUUGUGUUGCUUGCUGCAGGAUCUCUGUGUGAAAGGGUCAUUUCAUUCUGCCUUGAGGGAAAGGUGGCACCACCUCAUAGGAACUCUUUAGCCCUGUGUUUCAAUUGCUGCCAGGUGCAAAGUAUAGCUUGUUUAAACUAGCAAGGUAUGAUUUACUUUGUCUAUCAGUCAGCUGCUGCUCCUAGGAGACCCGUGGGCGCCUAGCUUAGAUUGUAGUUUGGGUCCUGGCUGAGUGGUGUAGGCUCCCAGGAGUGGUGUGAGUCUCUGUCCAGUUUCCGUAGGCUGAGGAAAAGUAGUUGCAUGUGGAAUUUAGGGCCUGCCUGAGCUACAAACAACUGCUUUGGGGAACCAGCUCAGCAGUUCCGGUCAGUAGGAGGGAUGCAGGCCCAGGCCUAAUCCAGAGCCAGGGGACAGCAGUGUCUUGUCAGGUGGAAACCUUCUGGUCUUCUAUACAGAUUGGAGCCAAGUGGUGCUGAGCAGGAUCCAUCAGGAGGCUGUAUGUGCAGAGCACAUGGGACUCCAGCAGAGAAGGGCCCUGGCUAUAUCACUAGUGCACUUACCCACCACUUCCUCUCACCUGUGGCCAACCAAGGUGCUAAGCACUCAGCCAGAAGAUGCAGAGGAAGCUUGUCAGCCAUUGUGGGUGUGUCUUUAUGAUACACUAAAUGCAUAGUAGACUAAUUCUACUGCACAUCCAUGCAUCACGGCAAAAGCUGUGUUAAUGCAGAAUAGAAUUAGUCUACUGCACGUUAGCAUCACUUGUUUCCUUCUACGACCAGGCAACUCGCUACCUGGAUAAAAGCGAGGUUGACAUUGUAAACCAGACUUCCAAAAGGCCUUUGAUCUGGUAUCGCAUGAUGUUCUCAUGGGAAAACUGGAGGAUUGUGGGCUUAACUGCUCAACAGUCAGGUGGGUAGGAAGCUGGCUGCAGGGUAGGAUCCAGAGCUUUCUAAUCCAGAGAUUUCUAAUGUGUUGUCCUAGCGAGAAGUGGCCAGUGGUGUCCCUUGGGGUCCAUGCUUGGUCCAGUGCUUUUCAACAUCUUUAUCAAAGAUUUGGAUGUGGGGGUGAAAAGCGCAAUGGCCAAGUCCAUGGAUGACACCAAGUUAUGGGGGAGCAUGGUCACGCUUGAAAAUAGGCUGCAGAUACAGGUGGACCUAGACAGGCUGGCAGGUUGGGUGGAUUGGAACCAGAUGAAGUUCAACAUUGAGAAGUGUAAAGUGCUCCAUCUGGGGAUGAACAAUCCUCAACGUACUUACAGGCUUGGUGGCACCAAACUGACUAGUACCAUAACUGAAAGGAACCUAGGGGUAAUAAUAGACCAGGGGUUGUCAACCACGGGUAUGUGUACCCUUGGGGGUACUUUGAAAGGUGCUGGGGGGUACGUGGGGGCAGGUGGGGAUGGAGUGCCACCACCUCACGCCACUGCCUCACAGGAGUUGGGCCGGGGCAGGGCGAGAGCAGGGUCAUACAGAUGCUACACUGCCGCUGCUCUGCCACACUUCAACAAGGAUGUGGAAAAGCUUGAGAGGGUCCAGAGAAGAGCCACCCAUAUGAUCAGAGACUUGCAAGACAAGCCAUACGAGGAGAGGCUAAGGGACUUGGGUCUCUUCAACCUAAAGAAUAGAAAGCUGAGAGGGGAUUUGGUAGCAGCUUACCACUACAUCAGGGGAAUGCAUCAAGGGCUCAGCAAACAACUGUUCACCAGAGCAUCCUUGGGGAAAACCAGGAAUAAUGGCCACAAAGUCCUGGAAGACUGUUUCAGGUUUAACACUAGGAAAAACUUCUUCACAGUCAGGGUGUCCAGACUGUGGAAUAAGCUCCCUCCAGAGGUGGUACAGUCACCUACCCUUCAAGAGGAGAUUGGACGGUCACCUUGCUGGGAUCACCCGACCCCAGUUGUCUUUCCUGUCUAGUGCAGGGGCUGGACCCCAUAAUCUUGCAAGGUCCCUUCCAGCCCCUAACAAUUUAUAAAUCUAUGAAUCUAUCUAUGAAAGGCGUGUGCUAGCAUGACUGUGCAGUAGUGCCAAUUACUGCACAUUUAGUUAGUACCUGUUAUUACUGUGAUGCUCAGAAAAAGCUGAAACAAAACCUUUUGGGCUGAGCUGUUCAGGGACAAUUCAUUAGCACUGGAUAUUGGCCUGACUUCUGUGGCAGCAUUUGGGUUUAAGUGCCUUCACUAGAGGUUUGUCUGGGGUAGAUCAAGGGAAAGGAGGACUGUGGUUCAAGGUCAUUAAAAAGUCAUUGAGGGACAGGGUUGGCACCCAGAGGUCCAAAAUGCUGUAGGGCCCACAGGAUGCGAGAUGGUGGGUACACACGGAGUGACAUGCCCAGGUCCUGGCCUAAGAGUUGAAGAAAUAUGUGAUUCCACUCUGACUGAGCCAGGUCUGAGGCCUGCCCUGUGAGGGGUGCACUCAGACAGGCCCCAGGGAGGUCCAGCGGGCACCCCUGCACUUGUGAUAACCAUGGCAUUCAGAGAACCUGCAGUUCUCCCCCUGAGAAGCCUGAAAACAGUGUUUCAUGUAAGAGCGGGAAUAUAGCACUAGAGAGAACAGGAUUGUGAAGGUCUCCCUUGCCUAGAAGCCUUGCCAGCCCAGCCCGAGAGCCAGGAGCCAGCCUGGCCUCCUCAGACACCCUCCCUCCCAGCACUGAAGCUGCCUGCCUCUUCCAUCUGGCUCCCCCUGCCUGACGGCCAUUCUGGGGUAUGGGCAAGCCCAGGCCAAAGCCACCCUAAGGCAGGGCAACCCAGUCUCCACCUUGGCUGAGUCCAACUAUUUUACCCACACCAGAGGCAUAUAGCAGGACAGCUCGUGCUUUUGCGCCUCCUCACCACACAAAGAUGGCACCCAGGCUGCUGCCCCUGGUCACCCCCCUCAAAUACACUACUGACCCAGGCCAUCAGUCUAAUUGGCCCCAACUAUUACUGUACAGUGA
This is a long non-coding RNA of Alligator mississippiensis (American alligator), 5332 nucleotides long. RefSeq lists it as uncharacterized. Lineage: Eukaryota; Metazoa; Chordata; Crocodylia; Alligatoridae. The record is from RefSeq and is a predicted model, not a curated record. The transcript is spliced from 4 exons.